Molecule: transfer RNA, 2531 nt
Filed under: Streptococcus pneumoniae
Lineage: Bacteria; Bacillati; Bacillota; Bacilli; Lactobacillales; Streptococcaceae
Description: bacterial SSU rRNA
Rfam family: Bacterial small subunit ribosomal RNA (bases 991-2531)
Source: RNAcentral
AGAGUUUGAUCCUGGCUCAGGACGAACGCUGGCGGCGUGCCUAAUACAUGCAAGUAGAACGCUGAAGGAGGAGCUUGCUUCUCUGGAUGAGUUGCGAACGGGUGAGUAACGCGUAGGUAACCUGCCUGGUAGCGGGGGAUAACUAUUGGAAACGAUAGCUAAUACNACUUCAUUAUGAAUCGUUUGAGGCGCCUUUCCUAACAAGCCUGCAAUUUCACGAUUGGACUUAUUUUCAUUCUUCCACCGCUCAAUCAAGCGACGGUUAUCUAUUGUCAAAUGUUUCCCUUUUGGGGUAUAAUGUUCUUGCAUCUCUGUGCCUUUCCUUGUGUUUGUGGUGAACAACAAGUAUAGCACAGAGGUGUUUUCUUAUACCUUAAAUCACAUUUCAUUUGACAACAGGAACCCUUGAACCUGUUUUUUCAGCUAAACCAAGGCUAUGAUUAGCCUUGGCCACCUAGCCUAACAGUUUCAAACCUGUUAUCAAAUGAAAUCAUCAACUUACUCAAACAUAGUGAAACAUCUAAUUCUUGACUAAGGUAAGGUGGCUAACUUCAUUAUAGAACUUUCAACUAGUAAGUCAUGCAAAAAAAAUGAAAAAAAUUAGAAAAAGUAGUUGACAAAGUUUGAAAAGACUGUAUAAUAGUAAGAGUUGAAAAUAACAACUCAGGUCCGUUGGUCAAGGGGUUAAGACACCGCCUUUUCACGGCGGUAACACGGGUUCGAAUCCCGUACGGACUAUGGUAUGUUGCGGUUGGAACACUUGAUGAAAAAAAGUUUAAAAAAGCUUAAAAAUCUUCAAAAAAGUGUUGACAAGUGAAAGUGGCUGUGAUAUACUAAUAUAGUUGUCGCUUGAGAGAAGCAAGUGACAAAGACCUUUGAAAACUGAACAAGACGAACCAAUGUGCAGGGCGCUACAACAUAAGUUGUAGUACUGAACAAUGAAAAAAACAAUAAAUCUGUCAGUGACAGAAAUGAGUAAGAACUCAAACUUUUAAUGAGAGUUUGAUCCUGGCUCAGGACGAACGCUGGCGGCGUGCCUAAUACAUGCAAGUAGAACGCUGAAGGAGGAGCUUGCUUCUCUGGAUGAGUUGCGAACGGGUGAGUAACGCGUAGGUAACCUGCCUGGUAGCGGGGGAUAACUAUUGGAAACGAUAGCUAAUACCGCAUAAGAGUNGAUGUUGCAUGACAUUUGCUUAAAAGGUGCACUUGCAUCACUACCAGAUGGACCUGCGUUGUAUUAGCUAGUUGGUGGGGUAACGGCUCACCAAGGCGACGAUACAUAGCCGACCUGAGAGGGUGAUCGGCCACACUGGGACUGAGACACGGCCCAGACUCCUACGGGAGGCAGCAGUAGGGAAUCUUCGGCAAUGGACGGAAGUCUGACCGAGCAACGCCGCGUGAGUGAAGAAGGUUUUCGGAUCGUAAAGCUCUGUUGUAAGAGAAGAACGAGUGUGAGAGUGGAAAGUUCACACUGUGACGGUAUCUUACCAGAAAGGGACGGCUAACUACGUGCCAGCAGCCGCGGUAAUACGUAGGUCCCGAGCGUUGUCCGGAUUUAUUGGGCGUAAAGCGAGCGCAGGCGGUUAGAUAAGUCUGAAGUUAAAGGCUGUGGCUUAACCAUAGUAGGCUUUGGAAACUGUUUAACUUGAGUGCAAGAGGGGAGAGUGGAAUUCCAUGUGUAGCGGUGAAAUGCGUAGAUAUAUGGAGGAACACCGGUGGCGAAAGCGGCUCUCUGGCUUGUAACUGACGCUGAGGCUCGAAAGCGUGGGGAGCAAACAGGAUUAGAUACCCUGGUAGUCCACGCUGUAAACGAUGAGUGCUAGGUGUUAGACCCUUUCCGGGGUUUAGUGCCGUAGCUAACGCAUUAAGCACUCCGCCUGGGGAGUACGACCGCAAGGUUGAAACUCAAAGGAAUUGACGGGGGCCCGCACAAGCGGUGGAGCAUGUGGUUUAAUUCGAAGCAACGCGAAGAACCUUACCAGGUCUUGACAUCCCUCUGACCGCUCUAGAGAUAGAGUUUUCCUUCGGGACAGAGGUGACAGGUGGUGCAUGGUUGUCGUCAGCUCGUGUCGUGAGAUGUUGGGUUAAGUCCCGCAACGAGCGCAACCCCUAUUGUUAGUUGCCAUCAUUUAGUUGGGCACUCUAGCGAGACUGCCGGUAAUAAACCGGAGGAAGGUGGGGAUGACGUCAAAUCAUCAUGCCCCUUAUGACCUGGGCUACACACGUGCUACAAUGGCUGGUACAACGAGUCGCAAGCCGGUGACGGCAAGCUAAUCUCUUAAAGCCAGUCUCAGUUCGGAUUGUAGGCUGCAACUCGCCUACAUGAAGUCGGAAUCGCUAGUAAUCGCGGAUCAGCACGCCGCGGUGAAUACGUUCCCGGGCCUUGUACACACCGCCCGUCACACCACGAGAGUUUGUAACACCCGAAGUCGGUGAGGUAACCGUAAGGAGCCAGCCGCCUAAGGUGGGAUAGAUGAUUGGGGUGAAGUCGUAACAAGGUAGCCGUAUCGGAAGGUGCGGCUGGAUCACCU